UGGGGAAUAUUGCACAAUGGGCGAAAGCCUGAUGCAGCAACGCCGCGUGAGUGAUGAAGGCCUUCGGGUUGUAAAGCUCUGUCUUUUGGGACGAUAAUGACGGUACCAAAGGAGGAAGCCACGGCUAACUACGUGCCAGCAGCCGCGGUAAUACGUAGGUGGCAAGCGUUGUCCGGAUUUUACUGGGCGUAAAGGAUGCGUAGGCGGAUUUUUAAGUGAGAUGUGAAAUACCCGGGCUUAACUUGGGUGCUGCAUUUCAAACUGGGAAUCUAGGGUGCGGGAGAGGAGAAUGGAAUUCCUAGUGUAGCGGUGAAAUGCGUAGAGAUUAGGAAGAACACCAGUGGCGAAGGCGAUUCUCUGGACCGUAACUGACGCUGAGGCAUGAAAGCGUGGGUAGCAAACAGGAUUAGAUACCCUGGUAGUCCACGCCGUAAACGAUGAGUACUAGGUGUAGGAGGUAUCGACCCCUUCUGUGCCGCAGUUAACACAAUAAGUACUCCGCCUGGGAAGUACGAUCGCAAGAUUU
RNAcentral lists this ribosomal RNA (526 nucleotides) under uncultured bacterium. RNAcentral's name for it is "partial 16S ribosomal RNA". It matches the Rfam family "Bacterial small subunit ribosomal RNA", at positions 355 to 896 of the family's 1533-position model. The record is from RNAcentral.